Molecule: long non-coding RNA, 2318 nt
Filed under: Solanum tuberosum (potato)
Lineage: Eukaryota; Viridiplantae; Streptophyta; Magnoliopsida; Solanales; Solanaceae
Description: long non-coding RNA (STUB_LNC010014)
Source: RNAcentral
UACACAAUAGUUUAAAAAGUACUCCUACAAUAGUUCAAUAUAUUCUAGCAAUGAAUAUAUUUCACAAAAUCAAAUAUAAUGUAUUCAAACUUUUACAAUAGUUCAAAAACUCUUCAUCAUCCACUUCAAUGAGAUCAAAUUGACUUGUGGCGACCCUUCAAAUUUGAUUACCUCCAUUCCCUACACAUUUAAAAUGAAAUUAACAAUCAAAACAAACCAUGUACAACAAAUCAGAUUGCAGCAGUUAUAGAAGAGGCGAGAAGUUUUGUUGGAGUGGAGGGACUUGUAUAGUAAAAGUAUUAAGUUAUUAUAACCCAAAAAUUUACUGAGAAAUGAUAUCUAUGAUCAAAUGUUAGCAGGGAAAUGGUAUCUAUUUUAGGUAUUCUUGUUAACAGAAUGAAGUGGACAAAAAUGGAGAAAUGAACUAGGCUAUAAAUAACAAAGAAGAUUGGUCCCCUUAACAUACCACACUCACUUUGUAACAUCCCUUGAAAAUUCUCUACAAUAAGGGAUUAGGAUAUGUUCCCUAAAGCAAUUCAAUGUUCAUCUCCACAAAAUGUGUAACCAACUAGCCAAAAUUAGAGGUCAAUUUCAUAUUGUGGCCUAAAUAAUUAUCCUCAAUCCAGACUCAACUUCAUAGUUGGCAACUUAAAGCAUGCAUUAGUGAUUCUAAUUGCAGAUUAUAUUCAUUUUCCCAAGAUAAAUUGCAUUCUUCGAGUGUUGCAUCUUAGUUACUGAUAUGUGAUUCUACAAGAAAUUCAUUCUAAUUGCACUUACCCCUUGUUUCAGGUAGAUUACUGAGUAUUCAAUUUGGAACAAGUGAAUAAUAAGUUUGACAAUUCAUAUCAAACAUUUUAGGGGGUCUUAAAAUCCUAGAGGAACCAAGAAUUCCUCUUGCUUACAUGCAUAGAAGGAAAAAAAUCGAUUGCAGAGUCACAAUCGCACAAAGGAAUGGAUGGAUCAGUACAUCAAUGCCAACUCCAAGUCCACUUCAGGCCAAAGAACAGGGGGGGCAGAAGGAGAAAAAUCCAAAGAGAGGUCCUGAAAAUCAGGAUAGUAGUCGCACCAAACAAAACAUGGAAAAAGAGGAAACUCAACUCCAACAACACCAAGACACUCUACUACAGACACCAAGACAAAGGAAAACAGGUUGUUGUUAGUGACUGACCUCAACAACAUCUCAGAUGACUUAGCUUUUAUUAUUUAAAAUGACAUCUUUGGAGCUAUUAACCAUGAUAGUAUUCAGUCAUUGUUACAUCUUGUACUUCUGAUAAAAACAAAACUUCAACAAAGCAAAUAUUAAAGAGGUUGAAUCCCAAAAAGAGAACAAUAAUGACUAGCAUAGAAUCGAAGGGACCACGCAAAAUCCAGGUAUGACUGCUGAAACUUUUUCUGAUAAUCAGAGUUUGCUUCAGCAAAAAGAGAUGCAUAUGGAUAUAAACUUCCAAAAAUAUCUAGAGUCCUUAACUAGUGAAAUAGAAGAGGGCUGGAAACAUGUGGAAAAGAAGAAAGGAAAAGGGAAAAACAAUGAGAAGGAGACUAACCAGGUGAACCAACAACUAAACACGAUGGAGGAAAAAAAUAUUUGCAUGUUAACAGUAGCAAACAUGAGAGCAACAACAUGUUCAAUCACCUUGCUGUACAGGAGAUGAUGGACUUAAACAUUGACAAUAAUGAUGUAAACGAGAACAAGGAUCACGAGCAAGAAAAUGAACAAAACACAUUGUUUCCUAACAGAAGUACAACAUGGGACAAAGACCGACAAAGUUGUGUUAUCAACUCUUUCCAAAAUUUCCAGCACUAUAUUAUAGCAAAUUGCAGCAGCUAUAUAAACUGAUUCUAUAAACUGAUCCUAUAACCUGUUCAUUGAUUCUAUAACUUGCAGACACAGGAUCCUAGCAGGGAAGCUAGAACCACAACUACACACACAAAUCAGCAACCAAAUUAGGAGAAGACAAAUGAGAUAGGGCAAGACCAACAAUAUCAGCCUAAGGAACAGUCAGGUAAGACACUUAACUCUACUAUUUCUACUCAUAAUAACUAUAAUGAUCUUGUUGUGGAGGAUCAAACCAACAACCAAGAAGAACAAGAAAAAUCUUCACAAUUUGAUACAUCAAUAAAGGAAAUACAUCAACAAACAAAAUAAAGGAUGAUUUGAAUGAAGAACAACUAGACAAAGUUGAGGAAAAUACAGUUGAUAGGUUCCAGAAGAGAGAAAGAGAGAGAAAAUCCUUAAGGAACCAACAAAAUACCUUUUGAAGAACCGAAUCAUGAGUUGACUCUGAAGAAUGUGGAAGAUUUUGGGCCAUCAUUUGAUC